UGUGCAUUGAUUGUAUGACUUCUGAAGUGUCUUUGCUUUCUUUUGGGUAAUAGUCCUCCUAUUACGUAAAAAUAAAAAUAAAAUCAGGUAUCAAAGCAACUUUAAUAAUAUAGUGUAAUUUUCCUUGAUUCUAUUUAAAUGUUAUAAAGGAAGGUGGAACGAUAAUCUCUAAUGAAGAUAGGAGAAAAGAUCAGAAUUGAAUGAGCAAGAUUGGGGUGUAAUAAUUACAGAGAGAUUGCAGAGAUUAGAAUAGUGAAUUGGAAAAGUCGGAGGUGAAGGCGACGAACAUUCUGCGUAGAAUAAGAUAGACCUAUUAUUUUUGUUCAGCCCAGAUUUACUGGACCUGUUAUAUUUUUUGUCGACAAAAUAAAAGUGAUGUGGCAAAACAGAGCUUCAUGAUUGGCCUGAAUAAAAAAUCCUACGUGGCACGCUCGUUGCUCUCCUU
This 445-nucleotide long non-coding RNA is filed under the name Brassica napus (rape). Its description in RNAcentral is "long non-coding RNA (BNAP_LNC008045)". The record is from RNAcentral. Lineage: Eukaryota; Viridiplantae; Streptophyta; Magnoliopsida; Brassicales; Brassicaceae.